CCCAACCUGGAGUUCUAGAGUGCAGU
Molecule: non-coding RNA, 26 nt
Filed under: Homo sapiens (human)
Lineage: Eukaryota; Metazoa; Chordata; Mammalia; Primates; Hominidae
Source: RNAcentral